UUUUGGUGGCCGAUUUUAAGCGAAAAAUUGUAAAUUUUUUUAAGAUAUAUUCCCGAAGUA
This 60-nucleotide transfer RNA is filed under the name Galba pervia. RNAcentral describes it as "tRNA-Tyr". Lineage: Eukaryota; Metazoa; Mollusca; Gastropoda; Lymnaeidae. The record is from RNAcentral.